UACGUAGGCAGCAAGCGUUGUUCGGAGUUACUGGGCGUAAAGGGUGCGUAGGCGGUUGUUUAAGUUUGGUGUGAAAUCUCCCGGCUCAACUGGGAGGGUGCGCCGAAUACUGAAUGACUUGGAGUGCGGGAGAGGAAAGUGGAAUUCCUGGUGUAGCGGUGAAAUGCGUAGAUAUCAGGAGGAACACCGGUGGUGUAGACGGCUUCUGGACCGUAACUGACGCUGAGACACGAAAGCGUGGGUAGCAAACAGG
Molecule: ribosomal RNA, 253 nt
Filed under: uncultured bacterium
Lineage: Bacteria
Description: partial 16S ribosomal RNA
Rfam family: Bacterial small subunit ribosomal RNA
Source: RNAcentral